RNAcentral lists this ribosomal RNA (721 nucleotides) under Ctenophora environmental sample. RNAcentral's name for it is "partial Bacterial large subunit ribosomal RNA". It matches the Rfam family "Bacterial large subunit ribosomal RNA", at positions 1 to 783 of the family's 2925-position model. The record is from RNAcentral. Lineage: Eukaryota; Metazoa; Ctenophora.
GUCAAGUGACUAAGCGCAUACGGUGGAUGCCUUGGCAGUCAGAGGCGAUGAAGGACGUUGUAGCCUGCGUUAAGCUUCGGGGAGUCGGCAAACAGACUUUGAUCCGGAGAUUUCCGAAUGGGGAAACCCACCCUUUACGGGUAUCUUAUACUGAAUACAUAGGUAUAAGAGGCGAACCCGGAGAACUGAAACAUCUAAGUACCCGGAGGAAAAGAAAUCAAUUGAGAUUCCCACAGUAGCGGCGAGCGACCUGGGAUCAGCCCUAAAGAACUUGGUGUGAUAGCGGAACGGUCUGGAAAGUCCGGCAAUAGAGGGUGAUAGCCCCGUAUGCGAAAGGUCCAUUGUAGUGAAAUCGAGUAGGUCGGGACACGUGAAAUCCUGACUGAACAUGGGGGGACCAUCCUCCAAGGCUAAAUACUCCUAACUGACCGAUAGUGAACCAGUACCGUGAGGGAAAGGCGAAAAGAACCCCGGAGAGGGGAGUGAAAUAGAACCUAAAACCGUGUGCAUACAAGCAGUGGGAGCCGUAAGGUGACUGCGUACCUUUUGUAUAAUGGGUCAGCGACUUCGUCUCACGAGCAAGCUUAAGCCGUUAGGUGUAGGCGCAGCGAAAGCGAGUCUUAAUAGGGCGACUGAGUUCGUGGGAUGAGACCCGAAGCCGAGUGAUCUAGCCAUGGGCAGGAUGAAGGUGCGGUAACACGCACUGGAGGACCGAACCCAC